Molecule: non-coding RNA, 794 nt
Organism: Cinara cedri
Lineage: Eukaryota; Metazoa; Arthropoda; Insecta; Hemiptera; Aphididae
Source: the annotation of a GenBank genome assembly
GACGCUUCACCCACACCUCUAGGCGCAACUAGAUUUUUAUGUUCUGGAAGCAAUUUAACGCGGUCCAGUUGUCAUAACGGUCGUUCGUAGACACAAAAACCCAUUUGCAAUUAGCACCUACGAAUCCGUUGGUUUUAUUUAAAAUUCGGUUCAUUAUCAACUAUCGUUUAGGCGGUAGCACUCUUCGCUGUUUAAAAUAUAAUUACGCGACUAAAUACACCUUGCACGUCGUCGUAUCGAGUGUGGGUAAAGGUCGAUUCGCAUUAUACAGAACGUCAUCGUCACGUCAUAGACCGGCAACGUCACGUCAAAAAAGGAAUUUAUUCACAUUUGACCGGCAACGUCACGCAAAUACCUGCACUGUCUAGUUUCUACCGGUCCGUUGUGCUCGUACGUUGGUUCGUUCUGUUUUCUGUGAAAUUUUCAAUUUUAUAACACGCCUAAAUUAAGUACAAAUAAAAAACUGGCUAUGAUUGCACUAAUUUUGGACGAUGAAAGAGAGAAUAAUAGAAAAAAAAGAGCCAAGAAAACAUGGAUUAGAAAAAUAUUUACUAUGCUAAAAUUUGAAAGAGAAUACCACACUUUAUUCAAGGAAUCGGAAGAUGAAGAAAUUUCCUUUUACGAUUAUUUUAGAAUGUGUCAAAAUCAAUAUAAUAUAAUAUGACGGAUCCGUUCUAAUUACGAACUUACGUACUACCAAAAUUGAUCGGGAACGGAUAGGCGACGUCACGUCAAAAAUUAGUUUUCGAUAAAACUUUCCGUUCCGCGACGUUGACGAUACGUUACUUUGCCGG